UAGGGAAUCUUCCACAAUGGACGCAAGUCUGAUGGAGCAACGCCGCGUGAGUGAAGAAGGUCUUCGGAUCGUAAAGCUCUGCUGUUGGUGAAGAAGGAUAGAGGCAGUAACUGGUCUUUAUUUGACGGUAAUCAACCAGAAAGUCACGGCUAACUACGUGCCAGCAGCCGCGGUAAUACGUAGGUGGCAAGCGUUGUCCGGAUUUAUUGGGCGUAAAGCGAGCGCAGGCGGAAUGAUAAGUCUGAUGUGAAAGCCCACGGCUCAACCGUGGAACUGCAUCGGAAACUGUCAUUCUUGAGUGCAGAAGAGGAGAGUGGAACUCCAUGUGUAGCGGUGGAAUGCGUAGAUAUAUGGAAGAACACCAGUGGCGAAGGCGGCUCUCUGGUCUGCAACUGACGCUGAGGCUCGAAAGCAUGGGUAGCGAACAGGAUUAGAUACCCUGGUAGUCCAUGCCGUAAACGAUGAGCGCUAGGUGUUGGGGACUUUCCGGUCCUCAGUGCCGCAGCAAACGCAUUAAGCGCUCCGCCUGGGGAGUACGACCGCAAGGUUGAAAC
This 554-nucleotide ribosomal RNA is filed under the name uncultured bacterium. Its description in RNAcentral is "partial 16S ribosomal RNA". It matches the Rfam family "Bacterial small subunit ribosomal RNA", at positions 355 to 900 of the family's 1533-position model. The record is from RNAcentral.